AGGACGAACGCUGGCGGCGUGCUUAACACAUGCAAGUCGAACGGAAAGGCCCGCUUGCGGGUACUCGAGUGGCGGACGGGUGAGUAAUGCAUCGGGAUCUACCUCAACGUGGGGGAUAACGUAGGGAAACUUACGCUAAUACCGCAUACGUCCUAAGGGAGAAAGCGGGGGACCGUAAGGCCUCGCGCGGUGAGACGAACCGAUGUUCGAUUAGCUAGUUGGUAAGGUAGUGGCUUACCAAGGCGACGAUCGAUAGCUGGUCUGAGAGGAUGAUCAGCCACACUGGAACUGAGACACGGUCCAGACUCCUACGGGAGGCAGCAGUGGGGAAUAUUGGACAAUGGGCGCAAGCCUGAUCCAGCAAUGCCGCGUGUGUGAAGAAGGCCUUCGGGUUGUAAAGCACUUUAUCAGGAACGAAAUACUACUGGUUAAUAACCGGUGGGCGUGACGGUACCUGAGGAAUAAGCACCGGCUAACUUCGUGCCAGCAGCCGCGGU
This 497-nucleotide ribosomal RNA is filed under the name uncultured bacterium. RNAcentral's name for it is "SSU rRNA". It matches the Rfam family "Bacterial small subunit ribosomal RNA", at positions 26 to 521 of the family's 1533-position model. The record is from RNAcentral.